CCCAGCUGCAGAGAAUCAGAGGGACGAUUCAAGCAGAGCUGAGAAGUCAGUCUCGGGGAGAGAGACUACAGAGAAGUCAGGACUCUUCUGCAGAUGGGGUCAGUCAGGUUACUGAAAUAAUUAUUGUGCUCUUCUUGGCACUGGUUAAAGCUUAACUGGAGUAACUGCAUUCAGUUCUGUAUGGGGGAAAAAAAGACACAUGGACCAAUUGAAGAGUUUAGAGGAGUGCAACAAAGACGGCUUAAGGGCAACAUAAUGCAUCAUCUAAAUUGGAAGCAACAUGACAUCAAGACAUGAUAUCAAGAUAAGAUGGGGGAUCAGUUGAUGAAAAUUGCCUUAUGUUAGCAAGAUCCCUUGUACUCCCAUUGAAAUAACUCACUGUACUUGAGUAUGAGAGAAGGUAAAACACAACUGGAUCCCAGAAAGUAGAUUAGGUACUCAUCCUAUUCCUGAGUGUUACAUGAUGAACUCCUCUGGUAUUAAUGACUGCAUGUGAAGAAGCAAAUCUCUGACACAUGCUGUUUCCAAUUUGGAUCAAAUGGCACGUGCAUUUUGGAAAGGGGGCCUUAUUGAAAGACAGACAUUUGAUGCAGUAGUUACUUUCAUGGCUAGUGACUAAUGUUUGCAGUAAAAUCCAGUGCAAAUAGCUAAGAUACAGUUUAAACCCAUCUUUGGUAUCCAGUCAGGAAAAACUGUGGAAAGAGAAAGCUGCACAAAAAGAAGGAUGGCUUAGUCAAUAGGGAAACCAAGGAAUUUAAUCAUGAUAGGCCAUAUUCAUCCUAUUUGCUUCA
Long non-coding RNA from Chelonia mydas (Green sea turtle), 791 nucleotides. RefSeq lists it as uncharacterized. The transcript is spliced from 4 exons. The record is from RefSeq and is a predicted model, not a curated record. Lineage: Eukaryota; Metazoa; Chordata; Testudines; Cheloniidae.